UAGGGGAUAUUAGUAAUGGGCGAAAGCCUGAACUAGCAACACCGCGUGUGCGAAGAAGGCCUUCGGGUUGUAUAGCACUUUUUAAGAGGAUGAGGAAGGACGGUACUCUCAGAAUAAGUCUCGGCUAACUACGUGCCAGCAGCCGCGGUAACACGUAGGAGGCAAACGUUAUCCGGAUUUACUGGGCGUAAAGCGCGUGUAGGUGGUUUGGUAAGUAGAGCGUGAAAGCUCCUGGCUCAACUGGGAGAGGUCGUUCUAAACUGCCGGACUAGAGGAUGGUAGAGGGAGGUGGAAUUCCGGGUGUAGCGGUGGAAUGCGCAGAUAUCCGGAGGAACACCAGUGGCGAAAGCGGCCUCCUGGACCACUCCUGACACUCAGACGCGAAAGCUAGGGUAGCAAACG
Molecule: ribosomal RNA, 402 nt
Filed under: uncultured prokaryote
Description: bacterial SSU rRNA
Rfam family: Bacterial small subunit ribosomal RNA
Source: RNAcentral